UGUUGGUAUGGGAGGAGCAGAGGCUGGACUUGGGCUCCAUAGCCAGAACGUUUGGGCUGGACCCACCAACCCUGAAGCUCAACGGUCACUUUAUCAGCAGAGGGCUCGACCUCAUCGCCUCCUCAGUCACCUGGAAGGCCCUCCUUUCUUUCUUCUCUGCUAGAGGACUCUCAACAGGGGAAAACGACAGCAACCCCAUUGUCGUUGAUGGCAAGCUCUGCAAAGUUGGCACCAAGCGAGGACAUGAACUACACGAGGUCAUUGAUAACAGAGGAAGGGCAGCUUUUGAAGAUGACAGCCUGCUGAUCAAGAGUAAAAAAGAUGAGGAAAAGCAACCCAGGUACAUCAACUGAAAGCAAUGGCAGAAUUGGUAUUUGCUCUUCCAGGAGAAAGCAAUUGUUAGAAGAUGUAAACUUGCUCAAAAAGCUAAAAAUAAGUGAAACUAACCCAGAUAUCCAAGGAAGAAGUAAAAGCGAGUCCAGCAGCAUCUCAGGUGCCCAACUUAGAUGCAGUUAUAUGAGGGGGAAGAUGAAGAGGAAGAGAGAAGAUGAGGCAGUCGUGUCUGCUCCUUACAAAGAGAUUAUAUGAAGCUUCUCAUGUUUGUUUUCAUUUUUUUUUUCUUGGUUCUUCUUUUUCUUUCAUAGUUUGGUUUGGUUUUUAUGCGACUUGAUUUAACUUGUAAAUGAUGAGUAUAAUGUAAGAACAACGAAAAGACUUUUGGUUUGGCAAACCUAAU
Molecule: non-coding RNA, 736 nt
Organism: Prunus mume (Japanese apricot)
Lineage: Eukaryota; Viridiplantae; Streptophyta; Magnoliopsida; Rosales; Rosaceae
Source: RefSeq, a predicted model, not a curated record